UACGUAGGGUGCAAGCGUUAAUCGGAAUCACUGGGCGUAAAGCGCACGUAGGCGGCUUUUUAAGUCAGGGGUGAAAUCCUGGAGCUCAACUCCAGAACUGCCUUUGAUACUGAGAGGCUCGAGUCCGGGAGAGGUGAGUGGAACUGCGAGUGUAGAGGUGAAAUUCGUAGAUAUUCGCAAGAACACCAGUGGCGAAGGCGGCUCACUGGCCCGGUACUGACGCUGAGGUGCGAAAGCGUGGGGAGCAAACAGG
RNAcentral lists this ribosomal RNA (253 nucleotides) under uncultured bacterium. RNAcentral describes it as "partial 16S ribosomal RNA". It matches the Rfam family "Bacterial small subunit ribosomal RNA", at positions 524 to 776 of the family's 1533-position model. The record is from RNAcentral.